Molecule: non-coding RNA, 90 nt
Filed under: pig gut metagenome
Description: Glycine riboswitch
Rfam family: Glycine riboswitch aptamer
About the family: This family represents the bacterial glycine riboswitch. Glycine riboswitches usually consist of two metabolite-binding aptamers domains with similar structures in tandem. The aptamers cooperatively bind glycine to regulate the expression of downstream genes.
Source: RNAcentral
AAAAACUCAGGAGAGUCCCGCAAAAAGCGGGCGCCGAAGGUGUACCCGGCAAAAUGCCGCUAAUCACUCAGGCAAAAGGAUGGAGGGAGA